GGCUGACCAUAUACUUUCUCCCCUUUUCUCUCUCUCGUAACCUUUGCAUUGAAUUCCUCUUGGCCUCUUAGCUGCUGGAUAUAUAAACAGACUUUGGCAGAGAAAUCGAAAGAGGUGGGAUUGGAUGAGAGAGAGAGAGAAAUUUAAACAAAAAUAGGCAAAUAUCGAUCAAAAUUUGAAUCACAAAGAAAAAAAAUAUCGAAAGCAAAUGGAGGGGUUACAACGUUGUAGAUAUUGGUUUAAUGGAGUUUAUUUCUUUUUCCAUUCUUUGAGGUUAGUACUAUUGAUCCUAUAAAUCUUAUACAUCAAGAUUUUUGGCCGUUAAAUCUUGUUUAAUGGAACUUGAGUAAGAAUUUAACUUGCAAAAUUUUUGGUGUAUAUAUUGCUAGGAUACUGGGGAGCAUAUUAAAAACUCUUACGAAUUUGACAUGUGACGAAAAUUGCUAGUUAUUAGUACGAAAAUUGGUAGUUAUUUGUAAUUUUCCCUUGUUAUGUAAUUUGCCUUUGUCUGUAGUUCUGCGGGCAUAGGUAAGUGGCUGUUGGUCCAACUAAUCCAAUUUGUUGGAGAUAUUUUCAGCUGGUGGUUCAUGUUGGUGUUGCAUCGUGUGGAAAGGACAAUGGAAGCCAUGGUCGCAUGCUUUGCCGCACGGUUGAUGCUCACAGCAUAGCAAUGGAUAUACGCUACAUGUUUGGUGGGCGGAAGAUUCCCCAUGAUUUGCUUAGGAAUUCCUUGUAAUUUGCUUUUGUAUUGACAUUUGAGGAUAGUUCCUUGUUUCGUGCGGGACGCUCUUUUUCCUUCCACCGGUUGAAAGCUCCGGCAAGGUUUUAUUGAGCCCCAAUAGGCAAGCUAUCCUCAGUUUGUUGUCAAUUUGUACUUGUACCCCGCUGUUCGAAUGGAAUAUCUAAUAUCGUAUUUCUCUCAAAAAAAAAAAAAAAAAAAGAUGAUGACUAUUUUCAAGUGAUGAUAAAUUUAUUUAAAAUAUAGCAACAUUAAUGAAAUAACACACAACGUGGUUGAUAAAAUAUAAAAGAAAAAAACACAAUACAUUAAAAAAAAAAAAGACACUAGGGGAUAAGCUAAGCUUGGAGCCUUUGAGCAUGGAAAUCAAACCCCGCAAUAUUCCUUGACAGAGAACCCAUCCCCAAUAUUAAGAUAAUUGGCCAUAUAAAAUUGAACAUAAUCCAACAUAUGCAAUGGCUUAUACUUCACGGGGUGGUCGUCGGUGGUAAGCUCGUCCGGUGCGCGUGUCACCCCUUUCAAGUAUGAAAAUAGUCCAAACGAGUAUCUUUCCUCAUUUUCCUUCAGAUUGACUCUAUGUUUACAAGAUGGUAUUCUGUCAUUGCUCCAAACCUAGGCAAGAAAAAGCAUAGAUUAUAGUUGAUCACUAGAAAUAGAACCCCUUUUAGUCUAUGACAGCCUCAUUUAUAUCCAUGAAACAGAAUGAUUAAUGGAAGCGUAUAGUGGCAUACCUGAAAUCCAUCAGAUGCGAAUAGGAAGGAUGAAGGCAAAGGAUCAAAACCAAUCCAUUUGUUAUCUUUUGUAUAUAUCUCAAGACCUUUGACAUGAUUUUGGUGGAGUAUGGAAGUUAAAGUCUUGUCUGUAUGCACGGAUAGACCCUGUCCAGUUCCCAUUUUCUCUGGUUUCUUAUAUUUCAUAAAGCGGAAAGUGGACACAAUCGAUUGAACGUGAUCGUCAAGGUAUUUUUCUACAUUGUAGUUUUCGAAUACCAUUCUUGUAACCACUUGAUUUAGACCUAGUUUGGGAGUGAGGUGCUUAAAAAAAAAGCACCUAUGAAAAAAAGCUGUGAGGGUUUUAAGUGUUUGGUAAACUGAAAAAAAAUGGCUUAUUUUGGAAGCUGCUGUGAGAAUAAGCUGAAAUCAAAGGAAAAAGCUGAAGCUGCUAUUUGUAGCUUUGGAAAACUGGUUUUUUUUCAAAGCACACGGAACUACAGUGCUCUUUUAAUGAAAAGACCCACUAUCAAACUGCUUUUUUUUCCAAAAGCAUUUUUACAAAAAAGUUUACCAAACGCUCUGCUGAUUUAUUUCACAGCCGCUUAUUCUCACAGCACAGCCGCUUAUUCUCACAGCAGUUUUUUUUCAAAGCACAGCAAUACCAAACCAGCCCUUAGUUCUGCCAUCACUUUUCUAUACGCAUCAGCAGUCUUACUAGACAAAAGAACAAUGUGAAAGGUGAGUCGAUAUAUCCCAAACUCAAUCAUUUAUCAAAUAUAUACUAAACCAUACCGAUAUUGAUCAUUUCCAUUAGGCCAAAAAUGAUGUUCGAAUACGCGCGAUUUUUCACUGUCUGUACCAGUUGCCAAGCUUUCAUGGAAAGGCCCCGUUAAAUGACCAUCAAGUAUAGGUUUUUCCUGCGGAUUUUGCACUUUAGUUUCAAUUGGGAAAUCAAACAGCUCUUUUAAUGUCCCAAACAUGCUAUCGUGAAGCUCAGGUGAAACUUUGUUGGGCAGGACUGCCAUGAAACAGCCAAACUCUUCGAGUGCGCGGCAAACAUUCCCACGUACUGAGAGCCAAGAACUUGUCCCUGGCUUCAAGCAAUCCUCUUGGGAGAAAUCUACUACUGGAAUUUUGGGUACCGUUUGGGUAACACUUGUGACAUUCAUCUUUGUCUUUUCACAAGUUAAGAGGUUUUGAGGACUCUAUGGAUAUUGAACUAGAAGCUGUAAGUUCUCAACCGAUUAAACUGAUAUUUAUAGAGUAGUUAAUUAUAAAUGGAAUAUCAGCUUUAGUAAUUUUUCUUUUGGCAUAAAUCAAUUAAACCCAUUACAAUCCCACAAGGAUCCACAUCGUAUUUGUUAUUUAGUUGUUUGGAUCUUUAUUCCCGUGCAUGAAUAUGUAGUUGUUAGAUUUUGUUAUCCAUCACUUACUGCAUACAUUAAUAUCAUUUUAUAAUAUAUAUAUAUAUAUAUAGACACACACUACUUUAUUUUAAAUAAAAUAAAGGUCGCUACCCAACCUUUAUUUUAUUUAAAAUUCUAAUGUAUUCAAAUCUCUUUUAAAACUUAAAUUCUAGUUUGCAUUGUAUGUAGAAAUUUACGGCUCGUUUGGAAGUAUUUUUAAAAUGACUGAAAACGUUUCUGAUGAGAGUAUUUUUAGAAUCAAUCAUUAGUAAAAAUGCAAGUGAAUCUUGAAAAAGCACUUGAAGUGCUUCUUGCAAGACCAAAAAAACUUCCACCAAGAGCGCCUUCGGUAAUUUAAUAGUACUUUGAGACAAGUCUUUAUAAUUUACAAAAUUUGAUAUGUUUGGAGAAUAUUCAACAAAAAAAAAAAAUGUGUCCAGAAAUAAUAUAUGGGAACUUUAACAAAAAGCUCCCGGUACUGUUCACUUUAACGAAAAACCAUAUUUUUACACUAAAAAGUCAAUCUUGGUACUAUUCACUUUACCCUUUAUUUUGUCCUUAUCAUUAAAACUCAAAGUUUUCAAGCCCUUUUCAUUAGUUUUCCUAUAAUAUAUCAAAGACACACCAAUUUUUUAAUUUUUUAAUUUUAUGUAUAUAUCAAACUAUAAUUACAAAAAUGUAGAAACUCCUAUACUACAAGAAGUUUGCCAAAUAUUUUUCUUUUUGUAAGUUGGUUGUAACCACCAUGGACCAACUUCUUUUUGUAUGUAAUUAUUUCUCACAACCCUAGCUAAUCAAUCACCACAGUCCAGUGGCAAUCGGGUAAUACCCCAGCGAAAUAUGGGCAUUCUCGAACAUCCGCAAUAAUUAAUUAAAACAUUCAAUGACAAAUCAGCAGCCGCAGGCUGACCAUAUACUUUCUUCCCUUUUCUUUCUCUCGUAACCUUUGCAUUGAAUUCCUCUUGGCCUCUUAGCUGCUGGAUAUAUAUAUAAACAGACUUUGGAAGAGAAAUCGAAAGAGGUGGGAUCGGAUGAGAGAGAGAGAAAAGAGAGAAAUUUAAACAAAAAUAGGCAAAUAUCGAUCAAAAUUUGAAUCACAAAGAAAAAAAAU
Molecule: long non-coding RNA, 3969 nt
Filed under: Malus domestica (apple)
Lineage: Eukaryota; Viridiplantae; Streptophyta; Magnoliopsida; Rosales; Rosaceae
Description: long non-coding RNA (MDOM_LNC005484)
Source: RNAcentral